Molecule: ribosomal RNA, 1154 nt
Filed under: uncultured bacterium
Lineage: Bacteria
Description: bacterial SSU rRNA
Rfam family: Bacterial small subunit ribosomal RNA
Source: RNAcentral
UGAAAGAAGAAACKUUCGGCCCACAUUGGACURRRACACGGCCAUUUCUUACCGGAAGCAGCAGUGAAUCGUACWCAUUGGGCGCAGUCUGAUKUCSGGAAMUCGCSUGGAGGAUGAAGCCUUCGGUCGUAACUCCUUUAUAGGGACGAUGAUGACGUACCUAUGAAUAAGCGACGCUAACUACGUGCCAGCAGCCGCGGUAUACGUAGGUCGCAAGCGUAUCCGGAACUAUUGGGCSUAAAGAAUGCGUAGGUGGUUUGAGAAGUGUCCGUUAAAUCUUCAGGCUCAACGUGAUUCUCGCGGACAAAACUCUCAAACUAGAGGAUAGCAGGGGCAAGCGGAAUUCCCGGUGUAGGAGUGAAAUCCGUUGAUAUCGGGAGGAACACCAAUGGCGAAGGCAGCUUGCUAGGUUAUCUCUGACACUGAGGCAUGAAAGCGUGGGGAGCGAACGGGAUUAGAUACCCCGGUAGUCCACGCCGUAAACGAUGCAUACUAGCUAUCAGAAGUAUCGACCCUUCUUGUAGCGAAGCUAACGCGUUAAGUAUGCCGCCUGGGAAGUACGGUCGCAAGACUAAAACUCAAAGGAAUUGACGGGGGAUCGCACAAGCGGUGGAACAUGAGGUUUAAUUCGACGAUAAGCGGAGAACCUUACCAGGGCUUGACAUCUAGAGAAUCCUCUGGAAACAGAGGAGUGCCGCAAGGAGCUCUAAGACAGGUGUUGCACGGUUGUCGUCAGCUCGUGCUGUGAAGUGUGCGGUUAAGUCCGUAAACGAGCGCAACCCUUACCAUGUGUUAGAUAUGUCACAUGGGACUGCCGGUCUUAAACCGGAGGAAGGUGGGGACGACGUCAAAUCAGCGUGGCCCUUACGCCCUGGGCUACACUCGUGUUACAAUGGCACAGACAAUGGGUCGCUAAGCCGCGAGGCGGAGCCAAUCCCAACAAAAUGUGCCCCAGUUCGGAUUGUAGUCUGAAACUCGACUACAUGAAGCCGGAAUCGCUAGUAACCGUGGAUCAGCUACGCCACGGUGAAUACGUUCUCGAUCCUUGUACACACCGCCCGUCAAGCCAGCCGAGUUGGCAACGCCAGAAGUAUGACUUUAGUCGUWCCAAGGUGGGGUCAGCGAGGAGGGCUAAGUCGUAACAAGGUAACCGU